RNAcentral lists this ribosomal RNA (311 nucleotides) under uncultured eukaryote. RNAcentral describes it as "partial 18S ribosomal RNA". It matches the Rfam family "Eukaryotic small subunit ribosomal RNA", at positions 1470 to 1796 of the family's 1831-position model. The record is from RNAcentral.
CCCUUAGAUGUCCUGGGCCGCACGCGUGCUACACUGACGCAUACAGCGAGUACUCCCGGCUCCGCAAUGGCAGCUGGUAAUCAUCAAUAUGCGUCGUGAUGGGGAUAGAUCUCUGGAAUUUUUGAUCUUGAACGAGGAAUGCCUAGUAAGCGCAGGUCAUCAGCCUGCGUUGAUUAAGUCCCUGCCCAUUGUACACACCGCCCGUCGCUCCUACCGAUUGAGUGAGCCGAUGAAACUGCCGGAUGUGGACUAUUCAUAGUCUGCAGAAGAUAUUUGAAUCGUAGCGCUUAGAGGAAGGAGAAGUCGUAACA